AUUGAACGCUGGCGGCAGGCCUAACACAUGCAAGUCGAACGAGUGGCGGACGGGUGUAUAAUGUCUGGGAAACUGCCUGAUGGAGGGGGAUAACUUCUGGAAACGGUAGAUAAUCCCGCAUACCAUCGGAUGUCCCCAGAGGGGAUUCGCUAGUAGGAGGGGUAAAGGCUCACCUAGGCGACUAUCCCUAGCUGGUCUGAGAGGAUGACCAGCCACACUGGAACUGAGACACGGUCCAGACUCCUACGGGAGGCAGCAGUGGGGAAUAUUGCACAAUGGGCGCAAGCCUGAUGCAGCCAUGCCGCGUGUAUGAAGAAGGCCUUAGGGUUGUAAAGUACUUUCAGCGGGGAGGCGUUACCCGCAGAAGAAGCACCGGCUAACUCCGUGCCAGCAGCCGCGGUAAUAC
RNAcentral lists this ribosomal RNA (406 nucleotides) under uncultured bacterium. Its description in RNAcentral is "partial 16S ribosomal RNA". It matches the Rfam family "Bacterial small subunit ribosomal RNA", at positions 30 to 526 of the family's 1533-position model. The record is from RNAcentral.